RNAcentral lists this transfer RNA (31 nucleotides) under Moraea calcicola. RNAcentral describes it as "partial tRNA-Phe". Lineage: Eukaryota; Viridiplantae; Streptophyta; Magnoliopsida; Asparagales; Iridaceae. The record is from RNAcentral.
UAAAAGGUCGGGAUAGCUCAGUUGGUAGAGC